This 502-nucleotide ribosomal RNA is filed under the name Wainuia nasuta. RNAcentral's name for it is "partial 12S ribosomal RNA". The record is from RNAcentral. Lineage: Eukaryota; Metazoa; Mollusca; Gastropoda; Stylommatophora; Rhytididae.
ACACCAUGACCUGUCUUUUUAAUAUUUAUAUUUAGAACUUACCUAAAGUAAGUUCUGGCGACGGCGGUAUAUAAACUUUUAUAAUUAGUAGUAUUAUCUUGGUGGUUAUCAUUUAACAGGUAAAUUCCCCUAAAAUUUAAAAUUGCCGCCAUAUUCUUUAAGUUUUAAUCCUUUGAUUUUAAUACUUAAGAGGUUUAUUUAGAUUUAAAAUAGUAGGGUAUCUAAUCCUAGUUUUAAAGUUAAAUUUUGAAUUUUGUAAAUUAAUAUUAAAAUUGAAACUAUUAUAUAUUUUACUACAAUAAAAGUUUUUACUUAAUUAAAUCUUCUUAAUAAUUAUUAAAUCUAAUUUAGUAUGACCGCGGCUGCUGGCACUAAAUACGCCUUAGAUUAUUAAUAUCUAAAUUAAUAUUUCUAUUAUUGUUUAAAGUUGUUGGCUGGGAUAUCUAUUAUUAAAUUCCAUUACAAAUAAAUAAUUGUUUAAUUUUUCUAUUAGAAUAAAGUA